RNAcentral lists this ribosomal RNA (510 nucleotides) under uncultured bacterium. RNAcentral's name for it is "bacterial SSU rRNA". It matches the Rfam family "Bacterial small subunit ribosomal RNA", at positions 15 to 518 of the family's 1533-position model. The record is from RNAcentral.
GAUAUGGCUCAGGAUGAACGCUGGCGGCGUGCUUAACACAUGCAAGUCGAACGGAGUAUUGGAAAUGAAGUUUCGGAUGGAUUUUUAAUACUUAGUGGCGGACGGGUGAGUAACGCGUGGGUAACCUGCCUCACACAGGGGGAUAACAGUUGGAAACGGCUGUUAAUACCGCAUAAGACCACAGUACCGCAUGGUACAAGGGGUAAAAAACUCCGGUGGUGUGAGAUCGGACCCGCGUCUGAUUAGUUAGUUGGCGGGGUAACGGCCCACCAGGACGACGAUCAGUAGCCGAUCUGAGAGGAUGACCGGCCACAGUUGGGACUGAGACACCGGACCCAAACUCCGUACGGGAGGCAGCAGGUGGGGAAUUAUUGCACAAGUGGGGGAAACCCUGAUGCAAGCGACGCCGCGUGAGUGAAGAAGUAUUUCGGUAUGUAAAGCUCUAUCAGCAGGGAAGAAAAUGACGGUACCUGAGUAAGAAGCCCCGGCUAACUACGUGCCAGCCGCAGC